This 510-nucleotide ribosomal RNA is filed under the name uncultured bacterium. RNAcentral describes it as "bacterial SSU rRNA". It matches the Rfam family "Bacterial small subunit ribosomal RNA", at positions 29 to 541 of the family's 1533-position model. The record is from RNAcentral.
AAUGAACGUUGGCGGCGUGGAUUAGGCAUGCAAGUCGCGCGAGAAGGGUUUUAUGCUUGCAUUUGACCCGGACAGCGGCGAAAGGGAGAGUAACGCGUAGAUACCUACCCCCAGACCCGGGAUAGCGGCGGGAAACUGCCGGUAAUACCAGACAAUGUCUCCGGACCAAAGGUGUAAUUCCGUCCGAGGAUGAGUCCGCGUCCUAUUAGCUUGUUGGUGGGGUAAUGGCCUACCAAGGCUGUGAUGGGUACCGGGUGUGAGAGCAUGGCCCGGCUCACUGGGACUGAGACACUGCCCAGACACCUACGGGUGGCUGCAGUCGAGAAUCUUCGGCAAUGGGCGCAAGCCUGACCGAGCGACGCCGCGUGCGGGAUGAAGGCCUUCGGGUUGUAAACCGCUGUCAGAGGGGAGGAAAUGCAUGAGGGUUCUCUCUCAUGUUUGACCUAUCCUCAGAGGAAGUACGGGCUAAGUUCGUGCCAGCAGCCGCGGUAAUACGAACCGUACGAACGU